GAAGGAUGCAAGCGUUAUCCGGAUUCAUUGGGUUUAAAGGGAGCGUAGGUGGCCUUAUAAGUCAGCGGUGAAAUCUCUCAGCUUAACUGAGAAAUUGCCAUUGAUACUGUAGGGCUUGAGUACAGAUGCCGUUGGCGGAAUAUGACAUGUAGUGGUGAAAUACAUAGAGAUGUCAUAGAACACCGAUUGCGAAGGCAGCUGACGAAACUGUAACUGACACUGAGGCUCGAAAGUGCGGGGAUCAAACAGGAUUAGAUACCCUGGUAGUCCGCACUGUAAACGAUGAUUACUCGCUGCUGGAGGGCAACCUUCAGUGGCUUAGCAAAAGCGAUAAGUAAUCCACCUGGGGAGUACGCCGGCAACGGUG
This 367-nucleotide ribosomal RNA is filed under the name uncultured organism. Its description in RNAcentral is "bacterial SSU rRNA". It matches the Rfam family "Bacterial small subunit ribosomal RNA", at positions 527 to 896 of the family's 1533-position model. The record is from RNAcentral.